CUAUCAUCGUGGACUUCUUUGGCAGAGGCAUACAUAGGGUGCCUCUCGGCCAAAGUUACCGGGUAGAGACAAAGCUACUGCUCAAAAA
Neodiprion virginianus is the source of this 88-nucleotide long non-coding RNA. RefSeq lists it as uncharacterized. The transcript has 3 exons. The record is from RefSeq and is a predicted model, not a curated record. Lineage: Eukaryota; Metazoa; Arthropoda; Insecta; Hymenoptera; Diprionidae.